AGUCCAGAAGCAGAAUGGAUCCACCGAUUGUGGUCUAUUCGCUAUUCCAAAUUGCGUUUUAAGUAGCAAGUGGAAAUAAGUGUUCUUUCACCAGUCAGCAGUGAGAAAUCACUUGGUCGAUUGCCUGGAAAAGAAAGAAAUCUUGUCGUUCCCUCGUGCUCGAAAGACGGCUGCAGUGGCAACAACAAUGAAAAACAAUACAUUGUGCUUGUCAAUUGCCAAAAUAUGGCGACAUGGUCCAUGCAGAGUAAUCUUUGUGACAUGCAGUGGCGCCGCCAGCUCGG
Molecule: non-coding RNA, 284 nt
Organism: Paramuricea clavata
Lineage: Eukaryota; Metazoa; Cnidaria; Anthozoa; Malacalcyonacea; Plexauridae
Source: the annotation of a GenBank genome assembly